AUUGAACGCUGGCGGCAGGCCUAACACAUGCAAGUCGAGCGGAUGAAGGGAGCUUGCUCCUGGAUUCAGCGGCGGACGGGUGAGUAAUGCCUAGGAAUCUGCCUGGUAGUGGGGGAUAACGUCUGGAAACGGGCGCUAAUACCGCAUACGUCCUGAGGGAGAAAGUGGGGGAUCUUCGGACCUCACGCUAUCAGAUGAGCCUAGGUCGGAUUAGCUAGUUGGUGGGGUAAAGGCCUACCAAGGCGACGAUCCGUAACUGGUCUGAGAGGAUGAUCAGUCACACUGGAACUGAGACACGGUCCAGACUCCUACGGGAGGCAGCAGUGGGGAAUAUUGGACAAUGGGCGAAAGCCUGAUCCAGCCAUGCCGCGUGUGUGAAGAAGGUCUUCGGAUUGUAAAGCACUUUAAGUUGGGGGGAAGGGCAGUAAGUUAAUACCUUGCUGUUUUGACGUUACCAACAGAAUAAGCACCGGCUAACUUCGUG
This 484-nucleotide ribosomal RNA is filed under the name uncultured bacterium. RNAcentral describes it as "partial 16S ribosomal RNA". It matches the Rfam family "Bacterial small subunit ribosomal RNA", at positions 30 to 507 of the family's 1533-position model. The record is from RNAcentral.